UGGGGAAUUUUGGACAAUGGGCGAAAGCCUGAUCCAGCAAUGCCGCGUGUGUGAAGAAGGCCUUCGGGUUGUAAAGCACUUUUGUCCGGAAAGAAAUCCUUGGCUCUAAUACAGUCGGGGGAUGACGGUACCGGAAGAAUAAGCACCGGCUAACUACGUGCCAGCAGCCGCGGUAAUACGUAGGGUGCAAGCGUUAAUCGGAAUUACUGGGCGUAAAGCGUGCGCAGGCGGUUUGCUAAGACCGAUGUGAAAUCCCCGGGCUCAACCUGGGAACUGCAUUGGUGACUGGCAGGCUAGAGUAUGGCAGAGGGGGGUUAGAAUUCCACGUGUAGCAGUGAAAUGCGUAGAGAUGUGGAGGAAUACCGAUGGCGAAGGCAGCCCCCUGGGCCAAUACUGACGCUCAUGCACGAAAGCGUGGGGAGCAAACAGGAUUAGAUACCCUGGUAGUCCACGCCCUAAACGAUGUCAACUGUUGUUGGGGACUUCAUUUCCUUAGUAACGUAGCUAACGCGUGAAGUUGACCGCCUGGGGAGUACGGUCGCAAGAUUAAACUCAA
Molecule: ribosomal RNA, 556 nt
Filed under: uncultured bacterium
Lineage: Bacteria
Description: partial 16S ribosomal RNA
Rfam family: Bacterial small subunit ribosomal RNA
Source: RNAcentral